UUUUUUUAAUCAUAUUUAAUAUUUGUUUUAUUUAUUUGUUUAAUUUUGUAUUAUUCAUUUUAAUAACAAUGCCGCGUCCUAGAAGAUCUAAUCUUUCCCAGCGAAGCCGUAAUGCAAUUAGGCAACGGAAUAGCUCUGAAACAUGAGAACAGUGCCGCGUUAAUAUGGAGCAAAGAAGGGCCUUAAUUCGUGCUUCUCAAACACAAGAGCAAAGAUAGAGAAAUCGUCGAGCUUAUCGUACAGAAGAACAGAUGAAUAAUCUUCGAAGUGCAAGAAGAAAUGGUUUGAAUCGAGCAGCGUUUCUGUAUGAUUGCAUUAUCGACUACAGCUUGCAUCGUUUAGUUUGCAUUGGUCCAAUGGACGUUGUUUGCCAGCAUUGUGGAGCAUUGAAGUCUGCUGGUGCAACGCCUGGUUUGUGCUGCCUUAGUGGUAAAGUGAAAUUGCCAUUAUUGGUCCCGCCACCAGAGCCAUUGUGCUCCCUGCUUUAUGGCGAAACACUAGAAUCCCGACAUUUUCUAGCGAACACUCAAAAAUACAAUGUCUGUUUCCAAAUGACUUCAUUUGGGGCGGAAAUUAUCGAAGAACACAGAUAUAAUCCGACAUUUAAGGUAAUCUUAUCUAUAUAUAUAAAAUAAAGUCUAACUAUAACUAUGGUUUUGACUUUACAGAUUCAAAGCCAGAUUUACCAUCGCAUUGGAUCAUUGCAACCUAUAGAAGAUGCACAGCAUAAAUUCUUGCAAAUAUACUUCAUGGGCAAUAUGGAAGAACAGCUUGACAGGCGUCAAAGGAUCAACACAGCUACGAAAAGAGCAAUUCUCCAAGAUCUGCAGCAAAUGCUUCAUGAACAUCAUGCAUUGGUCAGGCUGUUCAAGACUGCUUUAGAGCGCAUGCCAAGUGAUGACUAUAAAGUUGUUAUCAGAGCAGAUAAAAGACCAGCUGGAACACAUGAGCGCACAUUUAAUGCUCCAACAAUCGAUGAAGUGACAAUCCUGAUUGUUGGUGAAAACUUGGAAACACGUAAUAUUGUACUUACACGACGCAAUACUGGACAACUACAAAGAAUAUAUGAAACACACCGUUCGUCGGCAAGUGUUCCAAACGGUAUCCACGAAAAUUGACGGUAGAGACCAUUACAGGCAACGAUGGUUAUCCAUUGUAUCGGCGUCGAUCGCCCGAUGAUAAUGGUAGAACUGUCACAACCAAAGUGAAAGGAAACGAUUUCGUAGUUGACAACAGUUGGAUUGUUCCAUAUUCGCCACUUCUUUCCAAAACAUUCAAAGCACAUUGUAAUGUUGAGUAUUGCAAUUCGGUCAAGUCAAUUAAAUACAUUUGCAAAUAUGUCACGAAAGGGAGCGACAUGGCGGUUUUUGGUAUCCAAAUAUCCAAUACCAACGAUGAAAUCACGCGCUAUCAAGUUGGUAGAUAUGUGAACUGCAAUGAAGCAAUUUGGCGUAUAUUUUCAUUCCCUAUUCACGAACAUCAUCCCACUGUUCGGCUCAAGAAAUUACGAUCUUGAGGUGAAUGAGGAGAUCCAUAACCUGACUUUGCUCUUGAUCGAAGAUAUGUGUUACCUCAUGUGCGGCAGUUUGUUAGUUAGGUUAGGAAUGCCAGCGCCAGAUCGCGGAAUGAAUGACGCAUUUAAUAGAGAAUUGGAACGUGAACAUGAAUAUGAUCCACAUGAACUAAUCCAAUCAGUUCAAACGAAUGUACCUCAGUUGAAUCCUAAGCAGAGGGAAGUCUAUGAUACACUGAUUAAUGCAAUUGAUGAUGGAAAUGGCGGCUUAUUUUUUUUGUAUGCCCCCGGUGGAACUGGGAAGACAUUCCUCAUGUCAUUGAUUUUGGCCACUGUACGUGCGAGAUCCGAAAUUGCGGUAGCAAUUUAUAUGAAAUAUAUAUUUUUGAUGAAAU
RNAcentral lists this long non-coding RNA (1908 nucleotides) under Drosophila guanche. Lineage: Eukaryota; Metazoa; Arthropoda; Insecta; Diptera; Drosophilidae. The record is from RNAcentral.